Molecule: ribosomal RNA, 729 nt
Filed under: Rhodococcus sp. KBS1004
Lineage: Bacteria; Bacillati; Actinomycetota; Actinomycetes; Mycobacteriales; Nocardiaceae
Description: bacterial SSU rRNA
Rfam family: Bacterial small subunit ribosomal RNA
Source: RNAcentral
GGUAGGCCUUUCGGGGUACCGAGCGGCGAACGGGUGAGUAACACGUGGGUGAUCUGCCCUGCACUCUGGGAUAAGCUUGGGAAACUGGGUCUAAUACCGGAUAUGACCACAUCCUGCAUGUGUUGUGGUGGAAAGAUUUAUCGGUGCAGGAUGGGCCCGCGGCCUAUCAGCUUGUUGGUGGGGUAAUGGCCUACCAAGGCGACGACGGGUAGCCGACCUGAGAGGGUGACCGGCCACACUGGGACUGAGACACGGCCCAGACUCCUACGGGAGGCAGCAGUGGGGAAUAUUGCACAAUGGGCGGAAGCCUGAUGCAGCGACGCCGCGUGAGGGAUGAAGGCCUUCGGGUUGUAAACCUCUUUCAGCAGGGACGAAGCGUGAGUGACGGUACCUGCAGAAGAAGCACCGGCUAACUACGUGCCAGCAGCCGCGGUAAUACGUAGGGUGCGAGCGUUGUCCGGAAUUACUGGGCGUAAAGAGUUCGUAGGCGGUUUGUCGCGUCGUUUGUGAAAACCCGGGGCUCAACUUCGGGCUUGCAGGCGAUACGGGCAGACUUGAGUGUUUCAGGGGAGACUGGAAUUCCUGGUGUAGCGGUGAAAUGCGCAGAUAUCAGGAGGAACACCGGUGGCGAAGGCGGGUCUCUGGGAAACAACUGACGCUGAGGAACGAAAGCGUGGGUAGCAAACAGGAUUAGAUACCCUGGUAGUCCACGCCGUAAACGGUGGGCGC